CCUACGGGGGGCAGCAGUGAGGAAUAUUGGUCAAUGGCCGGAAGGCUGAACCAGCCAAGCCGCGUGAAGGACGAAGGUGCCAAGCAUUGUAAACUUCUUUUGUCAAGGGACAAAAUCAGGCUCGAGAGCCUGACCGAGGGUACUUGAAGAAAAAGCAUCGGCUAACUCGGUGCCAGCAGCCGCGGUAAUCCGGAGGAUGCGAGCGUUAUCCGGAUUUAUUGGGUUUAAAGGGUGCGUAGGGGGACUGUUAAGUCAGCGGUAAAAGCCCGGGGCUAAACCCCGGAGUGCCGUUGAAACUGGGUGGCUUGAGAUGUCGAGAGGUAUGCGGAAUGCGCAGUGUAGCGGUGAAAUGCUUAGAUAUUGCGCAGAACUCCGAUUGCGAAGGCAGCAUACCGGCGGCGAUCUGACGCUGAGGCACGAAAGCGUGGGUAUCGAACAGGAUUAGAUACCCCAGUAGUC
Molecule: ribosomal RNA, 459 nt
Filed under: uncultured bacterium
Lineage: Bacteria
Description: partial 16S ribosomal RNA
Rfam family: Bacterial small subunit ribosomal RNA
Source: RNAcentral